UGGAGCAUGUGGUUUAAUUCGACGCAACGCGAAGAACCUUACCAGGGCUUGACAUCCCCUGACCGCGUAUGAAAGUACGUUUUCACCCUCGGGUGACAGGGAGACAGGUGGUGCAUGGUUGUCGUCAGCUCGUGUCGUGAGAUGUUGGGUUAAGUCCCGCAACGAGCGCAACCCCUACGUUUAGUUGCUAACGCGUGAAGGCGAGCACUCUAGACGAACUGCCGUUGACAAGACGGAGGAAGGUGGGGAUGACGUCAAAUCAUCAUGCCCCUUAUGUUCUGGGCUACACACGUGCUACAAUGGCCGGUACAGACGGAGGCGAAGCCGCGAGGCGGAGCAAAUCCGAAAAAGCCGGUCUCAGUUCGGAUUGCAGGCUGCAAUUCGCCUGCAUGAAGUCGGAAUCGCUAGUAAUCGCAGGUCAGCAUACUCGCGGUCGAAUACGUUCCGGGCCUU
This 453-nucleotide ribosomal RNA is filed under the name uncultured Pelotomaculum sp. Its description in RNAcentral is "bacterial SSU rRNA". It matches the Rfam family "Bacterial small subunit ribosomal RNA", at positions 933 to 1382 of the family's 1533-position model. Lineage: Bacteria; Bacillati; Bacillota; Clostridia; Eubacteriales; Desulfotomaculaceae. The record is from RNAcentral.